GACGAACGCUGGCGGCGUGCUUAACACAUGCAAGUCGAACGGAAAGGCCCUGCUUUUGUGGGGUGCUCGAGUGGCGAACGGGUGAGUAACACGUGAGUAACCUGCCCUUGACUUUGGGAUAACUUCAGGAAACUGGGGCUAAUACCGGAUAGGAGCUCCUGCUGCAUGGUGGGGGUUGGAAAGGUUCGGCGGUUGGGGAUGGACUCGCGGCUUAUCAGCUUGUUGGUGGGGUAGUGGCUUACCAAGGCUUUGACGGGUAGCCGGCCUGAGAGGGUGACCGGCCACAUUGGGACUGAGAUACGGCACAGACUCCUACGGGAGGCAGCAGUGGGGAAUAUUGCACAAUGGGCGGAAGCCUGAUGCAGCAACGCCGCGUGCGGGAUGACGGCCUUCGGGUUGUAAACCGCUUUCGCCUGUGACGAAGCGUGAGUGACGGUAAUGGGUAAAGAAGCACCGGCUAACUACGUG
RNAcentral lists this ribosomal RNA (468 nucleotides) under uncultured bacterium. RNAcentral describes it as "partial 16S ribosomal RNA". It matches the Rfam family "Bacterial small subunit ribosomal RNA", at positions 28 to 507 of the family's 1533-position model. The record is from RNAcentral.